RNAcentral lists this ribosomal RNA (253 nucleotides) under uncultured bacterium. Its description in RNAcentral is "partial 16S ribosomal RNA". It matches the Rfam family "Bacterial small subunit ribosomal RNA", at positions 524 to 776 of the family's 1533-position model. The record is from RNAcentral.
UACGAAGGUCCCGAGCGUUAUCCGGAUUUAUUGGGUUUAAAGGGUGCGUAGGCGGGUUAUUAAGUCAGUGGUGAAAGCCUACAGCUUAACUGUAGAAUUGCCAUUGAUACUGAUGAUCUUGAGUAUGAUUGAGGUGGGCGGAAUGUGUCAUGUAGCGGUGAAAUGCUUAGAUAUGACAUAGAACACCGAUAGCGAAGGCAGCUUGCUACACAAUCAUUGACACUGAGGCACGAAAGCGUGGGGAUCAAACAGG